Molecule: long non-coding RNA, 2394 nt
Filed under: Gallus gallus (chicken)
Lineage: Eukaryota; Metazoa; Chordata; Aves; Galliformes; Phasianidae
Source: RNAcentral
AUAACAUCUCCCGAACUAUUGUGCUACACAUCCCUGCUACAUGAACCACACCUCUCGUGUUCUGCACAUCUCCAACCACAGCUGCGUUCAGAUGUUGUGGACAGAAUUGUUUUCAUGCCCCUCCCUGCACGCAGCCCCUAGGAAAUGCUGAUUUCAGAUAACUCUUCCAUGUUUUAUGUUCAAAACAGGAAAGGGUGAUUGAUUGGUUGUUCUUCACCAAUGCCAUGAGCUGUAGUGUGACUUGAAUUUCUAGAAAGUGUAUUGCUGAGUAUUCUUAACAUCCUUGCUUCCGUGGUUGCAUUCUAUGGAUAUCCAUGGUUCAGAUCAUCAAUAGUUACGCAGCUGUGAAUGUUUCGUUUGAGAAACGUGAAUCACAUUACUGCAAUACAAAUGCAGGAGGUGCUCAGUGAUUUCAGUGUAGUGUUAUGAAAACAGAUUUUGAAGACACGUUUGCAAGUGCUGUGUGAGAUCAGCAGAGGUAGGAUGUAGCCAUUAUGGUAUGUAUGUGGGUUUGCAACUGCUGCUUUGCCAUUUUUUCCCUCAAGCAGACAAACUGUGGCAGAUUCUUACCUUUGUGGGUAUUUCAUUGUUUUCUGGAAUCCAAAUGUGCAAACAAAUUUUUCCAAGCAGCUUGGCCUUGUAAUAAUGGUAACUGGUGCAUAAUAAUAACUGGUUCAAGGAACGUUUGGACGUUGUGUUGAGGGACAUGGUUUACUAAGAACUAUUGGUGAUGGGUGGAUGGUUGGACUGGGUGAUCCUGUGGGUCUUUUCCAACCUUGGUGAUACUAUGAUUCUAAUUGGGAAUGGUUGAGUUUCAGUGUGCAGAGAUGAUCUGGGAAGUUUAUUACAUCAUAGCUUUUAUAGCAGAGCUAUUCUAAAGUUGUCUCCUCCCUUGGAACUCAUCUGUACCUCACAUUUUGUUAGCUUUCUAGUGUUCGGUGUUCUUGUGUACAGCAGGGUAUUAAAAUGCUCUGCUGUGCACCGUAUCUGUGAUUCAGAUGUCUUAGGAGACCUGGGGAUUUGGUCUUGGCUUUCAGAAGCGCUUCUUCCUUCCUAAGCACAUCACAACUUAAGUAUUUUUCUGCAGGACAAAAGAUUACUUGUGCAGAAAUGGUGCAGUCUUCACCCAAAUACACUGCUUCCUACAAGUUACCUCCAGUGUCACCUUUAUUCUGUCCUGCUCUUUCUCCUUAUUCCCAAUAUCUAACGGAUCUCCAUAAAGCUGACUGCUGAAAUCAUUCUCCUAUGACCUCAUAUAUCAACUUUGGGUUCACCCGUGUACCUAAGUGUAUGAUGCUUCAAGUUUCAGAUACUUAAAGCAUAGAUCUGCAGGGGCUACAGGAAAGCUUAAUUUAUUGCUUGGUUACUGUAUGGCUGCCAUCAUGGAUUUCCUUUGCUUUUAUUUGAAACAUCUGGAACUCCCUGUUGGUAAGAUGGGAGCAGUGAACUGCUUGUAAAUCAGAUAUGCCAGGAGAUGACAAAUGGAACUUGUCAUGUUUGAAUGACAGCACGUUCCUGCAGCUUCCUGGGCUUCCAACCCUUCUGAAAGUGCAAUCUAAACUCAUCCUUCCCUCAGAGGGAUUUUAGCAUCACCUACUGGCCACAGCACAUAUAACCUUAAAGUACAGGAGCAGAGUUAAGGGUAGGAUGGGAACUUUUACCAAACCACACUCUUGGAGGAGUGGAGACAUUAAAUAUAUUGACAUAUAGUUAACUAUGUAUGCUAUUUUCAAGUUCAUCAACGAUCAAGAAUAAAGAGCAGUUAACAGUAGUCAUUUAUGUAAGUUUUCUGUGAAGAUGUUAUAGGUAUCUGCCCUCAUAAGGCCCCAUCUGGAGUACUGUGUCCAGGUCUGGGGCCCCCAUUGCAAGAAAGACAGAGAGCUGUUGGAGAGGGUCCAGAGGAGGGCCACAAAGAUGAUCAGGGGGCUGGAGCACCUGCCCUAUGAAGACAGGCUAAGGGAGCUGGGCCUAUUCAGCCUGGAGAAGAGAAGGCUGUGGGGUGACCUCAUUGCAGCCUUCCAGUACCUGAAGGGAGCCUAUAAACAGGAGGGGAGUCAACUCUUUGGAAAGGUAUCUAACAGCAAGACAAGGGGAAAUGGUUUUAAGUUGAAGGAGGGCAGAUUUAAGUUGGAUGUUAGGGGGAAGUUCUUGGCUAUGAGAGUGGUGAGGUGCUGGAACGGGCUGCCCAGAGAGGUUGUGGAUGCCCCAUUCCUGGAGGUGUUCAAGGCCAGGUUGGAUGGGGCCCUGGGCAGCCUGGUCUAGUAUUAAAUGUGGAGGUUGGUGGCCCUGCCUGUGGCAGAGGGAUUGGAGCUUCAUGAUCCUUGGGGUCCCUUCUAACCCAGGCCAUUCUGUGAUUCUGUGAUACUUUGCAUUUUAUCUGUCAUAGAUCUCCAU